RNAcentral lists this ribosomal RNA (374 nucleotides) under uncultured organism. Its description in RNAcentral is "partial 16S ribosomal RNA". It matches the Rfam family "Bacterial small subunit ribosomal RNA", at positions 527 to 896 of the family's 1533-position model. The record is from RNAcentral.
GUAGGUGGCAGGCGUUGUCCGGAAUUAUUGGGCGUAAAGCGCGCGCAGGCGGUUCUUUAAGUCUGAUGUGAAAGCCCACGGCUCAACCGUGGAGGGUCAUUGGGAACUGGAGAACUUGAGUACAGAAGAGGAAAGCGGAAUUCCACGUGUAGCGGUGAAAUGCGUAGAGAUGUGGAGGAACACCAGUGGCGAAGGCGGCUUUCUGGUCUGUAACUGACGCUGAGGCGCGAAAGCGUGGGGAGCAAACAGGAUUAGAUACCCUGGUAGUCCACGCCGUAAACGAUGAGUGCUAAGUGUUAGGGGGGUUUUCCGCCCCCCUUAGUGCUGCAGCUAACGCAUUAAGCACUCCGCCUGGGAGUACGGCCGCAAGGCUG